Molecule: ribosomal RNA, 392 nt
Filed under: uncultured bacterium
Lineage: Bacteria
Description: partial 16S ribosomal RNA
Rfam family: Bacterial small subunit ribosomal RNA
Source: RNAcentral
AUACGGAGGAUCCGAGCGUUAUCCGGAUUUAUUGGGUUUAAAGGGUGCGCAGGCGGCCAUUUAAGUCAGCGGUUAAAUCGUGGGGCUCAACCCCAUUCUGCCGUUGAUACUGGGUGGCUUGAUUGCGGUCGAGGUUGGCGGAAUUCGUUGUGUAGCGGUGAAAUGCAUAGAUAUGACGAAGAACACCGAUUGCGUAGGCAGCUGACCAGACCGCAAAUGACGCUCAUGCACGAAAGUGCGUGGAUCGAACAGGAUUAGAUACCCUGGUAGUCCGCACAGUAAACGAUGAAUACUUGUUUUCGGCGAUAUAAUGUCGGAGGCAAAGCGAAAGCGAUAAGUAUUCCACCUGGGGAGUACGCCGGCAACGGUGAAACUCAAAGGAAUUGACGGGG